RNAcentral lists this ribosomal RNA (467 nucleotides) under uncultured bacterium. RNAcentral's name for it is "partial 16S ribosomal RNA". It matches the Rfam family "Bacterial small subunit ribosomal RNA", at positions 29 to 507 of the family's 1533-position model. The record is from RNAcentral.
ACGAACGCUGGCGGCGUGCUUAACACCUGCCAGUCGAACGGAAAGGCCCCGCUUUUGUGGGGUGCUCGCGUGGCGAACGGGUGAGUAACACGUGAGUAACCUGCCCUUGACUUUGGGAUAACUUCAGGAAACUGGGGCUAAUACCGGAUAGGAGCUCCUGCUGCAUGGUGGGGGUUGGAAAGUUUCGGCGGUUGGGGAUGGACUCGCGGCUUAUCAGCUUGUUGGUGGGGUAGUGGCUUACCAAGGCUUUGACGGGUAGCCGGCCUGAGAGGGUGACCGGCCACAUUGGGACUGAGAUACGGCCCAGACUCCUACGGGAGGCAGCAGUGGGGAAUAUUGCACAAUGGGCGGAAGCCUGAUGCAGCAACGCCGCGUGCGGGAUGACGGCCUUCGGGUUGUAAACCGCUUUCGCCUGUGACGAAGCGUGAGUGACGGUAAUGGGUAAAGAAGCACCGGCUAACUACGUG